RNAcentral lists this ribosomal RNA (254 nucleotides) under uncultured bacterium. RNAcentral describes it as "partial 16S ribosomal RNA". It matches the Rfam family "Bacterial small subunit ribosomal RNA", at positions 524 to 776 of the family's 1533-position model. The record is from RNAcentral.
UACGUAGGGUGCGAGCGUUGCCCGGAUUUAUUGGGCGUAAAGGGCGCGCAGGCGGUACGGCACGUCCGUUGUGAAAUCGCUCGGCUCAACUGGGCGGGGUCAGCGGAUACGGCCGCACUUGAGCAAGCUAGGGGGCAAUGGAAUUCCCGGUGUAGUGGUGGAAUGCGUAGAUAUCGGGAGGAACACCAGUGGCGAAGGCGGUUGCCUGGAGCUUUGCUGACGCUGAGGCGCGGAAAGCGUGGGGAGCGAUCCGG